RNAcentral lists this non-coding RNA (54 nucleotides) under Homo sapiens (human). Lineage: Eukaryota; Metazoa; Chordata; Mammalia; Primates; Hominidae. The record is from RNAcentral.
ACUAAAAAUACAAAAAAAUUAGCCGGGCGUAGUGAUGGGCGCCUGUAGUCCCAC